UACGUAGGGGGCUAGCGUUGUCCGGAAUUACUGGGCGUAAAGCGUGCGUAGGCGGUUAUUUAAGUCGGGUGUGAAAGCCCCGGGCUCAACCUGGGAAUUGCAUUCGAGACUGAAUAGCUAGGGUACGGUAGAGGGAAGCGGAAUUUCCGGUGUAGCGGUGAAAUGCGUAGAUAUCGGAAGGAACAUCAGUGGCGAAAGCGGCUUCCUGGACCAGUACCGACGUUCAGGCACGAAAGCGUGGGGAGCAAACAGG
RNAcentral lists this ribosomal RNA (253 nucleotides) under uncultured bacterium. Its description in RNAcentral is "partial 16S ribosomal RNA". It matches the Rfam family "Bacterial small subunit ribosomal RNA", at positions 524 to 776 of the family's 1533-position model. The record is from RNAcentral.